AUUGAACGCUGGCGGCAGGCCUAACACAUGCAAGUCGAGCGGAUGAAGGGAGCUUGCUCCUGGAUUCAGCGGCGGACGGGUGAGUAAUGCCUAGGAAUCUGCCUGGUAGUGGGGGAUAACGUCCGGAAACGGGCGCUAAUACCGCAUACGUCCUGAGGGAGAAAGUGGGGGAUCUUCGGACCUCACGCUAUCAGAUGAGCCUAGGUCGGAUUAGCUAGUUGGUGGGGUAAAGGCCUACCAAGGCGACGAUCCGUAACUGGUCUGAGAGGAUGAUCAGUCACACUGGAACUGAGACACGGUCCAGACUCCUACGGGAGGCAGCAGUGGGGAAUAUUGGACAAUGGGCGGAAGCCUGGUCCAGCCAUGCCGCGUGUGUGAAGAAGGUCUUCGGAUUGUAAAGCACUUUAAGUUGGGAGGAAGGGCAGUAAGUUAAUACCUUGCUGUUUUGACGUUACCAACAGAAUAAGCACCGGCUAACUUCGUG
RNAcentral lists this ribosomal RNA (484 nucleotides) under uncultured bacterium. RNAcentral describes it as "partial 16S ribosomal RNA". It matches the Rfam family "Bacterial small subunit ribosomal RNA", at positions 30 to 507 of the family's 1533-position model. The record is from RNAcentral.